Molecule: ribosomal RNA, 1373 nt
Filed under: Lampsilis siliquoidea
Lineage: Eukaryota; Metazoa; Mollusca; Bivalvia; Unionida; Unionidae
Description: 16S ribosomal RNA
Rfam family: Archaeal large subunit ribosomal RNA (bases 565-1373)
Source: RNAcentral
UAGCUUUUAUGAUUAUUAUUUUGAUGAACUUAAAUAUUUAAAAUCACUUACCAGAAUUAGUAUUAUCUAACAACCCUCAUUCCAAUUAACAUUCAUAUCUGCAAAGGAUAUUACCAAUUAACUAUAAGAAAAAAUAAACCCCUCUACCUUUUGCAUCAUGUAGUUGCAACAUGUAACAAUUAACACCUGUUUCCCGAAAAAUGGAGAGCUACUAUUAACAACUAACCACUCUUAAUGUUUCAAUAUUAAGAAACAGCUACUAGUAGCAGCAAAAUACCAUACGAGCCAUUUGAUAGCUGGUUGUUCCUAAAAGAUAUAUAAGUAUCCCGUUACAGAAAAGUUACCAACAUACCUACCUGUAAUGGAAACUUAAGUGGGGACAAGCCCGUUUAAGCCCGAUAGAAGUGAAUUUAAAGACAGUACCCAGAAAAGGCCUAAAAACAGCCAAAAAUACCCGUUAAAGGGAACGAACAACCGUAAAACCUCAUACCAUACCAAAUAAAUCAACUCCUCACUAACUAAGGAACCUUAUAAUUUAACCUUAAUCUGUAAUGAACCGGCAAUUAUUAGUAUCACAAAAUCAGUAACAAUAAGAACAUCAAUAAAACAAUACUUCAACAAAACUACCGUUAACAAUCAAAUCGUGAGUAAUGAACUCGGCAAAUAAUCUCUCUGCCUGUUUACCAAAAACAUCGUCUUCUGAGCUAACACCAUAUAGAAGAUAAUGCCUGCCCAAUGACACAGUUAAAUGGCCGCGUUAGCGUGAGCGUGCUAAGGUAGCGUAAUAAUUAGCUUCCUAAUUAGGAGCCAGUGAAUGGCAAGACAAAGAGAAACUCUAUCACUUACGUUUAGAAAAUUUUCCAAUUAAGUGAAAAGGCUUAAGUAAAAGAGAAAGACAAAAAGACCCCGCGGAACUUCCUGAACCUUUACCUCAAUAAUACAGAAUAUUAAAGCUAACCAGGUUGGUUGGGGCAACCAUGGAACAACUUCAACUUCCAACUUAUACAGUAAAUUAUACAAAACUUGAUACGGACCACAAUCGCAGUUACCCCGGGGAUAACAGCGUAAUCCAGUUUAAGAGUACGCAUCAAAAACUGGGUUUGCGACCUCGAUGUUGGCUUAGGGAAACUGGGUUUGCGACCUCGAUGUUGGCUUAGGGAAUGCAACUUGGCGCAGCCGCUAAGUUACCUGCCAGUCUGUUCGACUGCAAACACCCUACAUGAGCUGAGUUAAGACCGGCGAGAGCUAGGUUGGACUCUACCUUCUCCAACAAAAUUAGUCUCUUUGUUGUACGAAAGGACCCAAAGAGCCACAUCAACAAGUGCCAUUAAAUCUUACUAUGCAAAUAGUCUAUUACCAAUACAAACACCAAC